AGUGAACGCUGGCGGUAGGCCUAACACAUGCAAGUCGAACGGCAGCACAGUAAGAGCUUGCUCUUACGGGUGGCGAGUGGCGGACGGGUGAGGAAUACAUCGGAAUCUACUUUUUCGUGGGGGAUAACGUAGGGAAACUUACGCUAAUACCGCAUACGACCUACGGGUGAAAGCAGGGGAUCUUCGGACCUUGCUCGAUUGAAUGAGCCGAUGUCGGAUUAGCUAGUUGGCGGGGUAAAGGCCCACCAAGGCGACGAUCCGUAGCUGGUCUGAGAGGAUGAUCAGCCACACUGGAACUGAGACACGGUCCAGACUCCUACGGGAGGCAGCAGUGGGGAAUAUUGGACAAUGGGUGCAAGCCUGAUCCAGCCAUACCGCGUGGGUGAAGAAGGCCUUCGGGUUGUAAAGCCCUUUUGUUGGGAAAGAAAAGCAGCAGGUUAAUACCCCGCUGUUCUGACGGUACCCAAAGAAUAAGCACCGGCUAACUUCGUG
This 492-nucleotide ribosomal RNA is filed under the name uncultured bacterium. RNAcentral's name for it is "partial 16S ribosomal RNA". It matches the Rfam family "Bacterial small subunit ribosomal RNA", at positions 29 to 507 of the family's 1533-position model. The record is from RNAcentral.